GACGAACGCUGGCGGCGUGCCUAAUACAUGCAAGUUGAGCGCUGAAGGUUGGUACUUGUACCUACUGGAUGAGCAGCGAACGGGUGAGUAAAGCGUGGGGCAUCUGCCUUUGAGCGGGGGACAACAUUUGGAAACGAAUGCUAAUACCGCAUAAAAACUUUAAACACAAGUUUUAAGUUUGAAAGAUGCAAUUGCAUCACUCAAAGAUGAUCCCGCGUUGUAUUAGCUAGUUGGUGAGGUAAAGGCUCACCAAGGCGAUGAUACAUAGCCGACCUGAGAGGGGGGUCGGCCACAUUGGGACGGGGACGCGGCCCAAGCUCCUGCGGGAGGCAGCAGUAGGGAAUCUGAGGCAGUGGACGAAAGUCUGACCGAGCAACGCCACGUGAGUGAAGAAGGUUUUCGGAGCGUAAAGCUCUGUUGGUAGAGAAGAACGUUGGUGAGAGUGGAAAGCGCAUCAAGUGACGGUAACUACACAGAAAGGGACGGCUAACUACGUG
RNAcentral lists this ribosomal RNA (497 nucleotides) under uncultured bacterium. Its description in RNAcentral is "partial 16S ribosomal RNA". It matches the Rfam family "Bacterial small subunit ribosomal RNA", at positions 28 to 507 of the family's 1533-position model. The record is from RNAcentral.